Molecule: long non-coding RNA, 230 nt
Filed under: Elaeis guineensis (African oil palm)
Lineage: Eukaryota; Viridiplantae; Streptophyta; Magnoliopsida; Arecales; Arecaceae
Description: long non-coding RNA (EGUI_LNC051386)
Source: RNAcentral
GCUCCGUUUGGAGUGAUCUUGAUCUCGUUGGACUCUAUGUUUCAUCAUGGAUCUCACUAUGGGCUCAAUGUAGACUGAAUCUUAAGAUAUCAAAUUUUAACAUGAUGAAGAUCUAAUCACCUACAUGGAUGCUAUGCAAAGGCUCGACUCCAAGAAAUGGCUUAAGGCUAUGAAAUCUGAGAUAGUGUCCACAGAGAUCAAUGGUAUAUGAAUACUUUGAUCCAUCCGAA